ACUAUUUUUAAUGUGCUCGCUUUAAAUGUUUGCCUUUAUAGUUUUCCGUUAUCGUGUGAUGUUAAAAUGUCACAUUAUUUCGCAAAUACUUUAUUCGAAUAAACGUUGAAGCCAGAAAAUGUAAUACGGAUGACUAUAAAUUAUUGUCAGGAAAAUUUUGAUGUCAUGUUAGCGCCUUUCUCCUGCCAAAAAAGUCAAAUAUGGUUUAGAUGAAAAUAUAUCUUUUACAUAUUUAAGUUAUGGGCAUCUGCUCUCAUCUGACAGCAUUAUUGAAAUAAUUAGCAAACGAAAAGGCCACAAAAAGACCAAAUACUGCACGCCUUUCGAGUAGAAACGGCCCGACGCUUCCCCUUCAGCUCAUAAUUGGGAGUGAUGCAACACUCCCAGCACCUCGUAUGCCUACGGAAGGACAGUUUUUGUAAAAUAGUGCAUUUUAAUAAUCUUAUAAACAAUAAUAAAAUUAGAUAGAGAUAGUUUGAAUGAAAAUAGAAAAUAGGAAUGGUCGUACAUAUUAAUUAAUAUUUUCUCUUACUACUUACGACUUGUGUUCACAUAAAGCAAUUUUACGUAUGUAUUUAAUUCGAGAAUCACAUAAAAGUAGCCAAUUUUAAA
Xenia sp. Carnegie-2017 is the source of this 612-nucleotide long non-coding RNA. RefSeq lists it as uncharacterized. Lineage: Eukaryota; Metazoa; Cnidaria; Anthozoa; Malacalcyonacea; Xeniidae. The record is from RefSeq and is a predicted model, not a curated record. The transcript has 2 exons.